GUGCUGGCUUCAGCAACACGUAUACUAAAAUGAGAAUAUACCAAGAAGAUUAGCAUGGCCCCUGCAGAAGGAUGGAAUGCAAAUUCAUGAAACAUUCCAUAUGUUU
Molecule: small nuclear RNA, 106 nt
Organism: Sorex araneus (European shrew)
Lineage: Eukaryota; Metazoa; Chordata; Mammalia; Eulipotyphla; Soricidae
Source: Ensembl